AACGCGAAGAACCUUACCAGGUCUUGACAUCCGAUGCAUAGCACAGAGAUGUGUGAAGUCCUUCGGGACAUCGAGACAGGUGGUGCAUGGUUGUCGUCAGCUCGUGUCGUGAGAUGUUGGGUUAAGUCCCGCAACGAGCGCAACCCUUACUGCCAGUUACUACGCAAGAGGACUCUGGCAGGACUGCCGUUGACAAAACGGAGGAAGGUGGGGAUGACGUCAAAUCAUCAUGCCCUUUAUGACCUGGGCUACACACGUACUACAAUGGCGCUUAACAAAGAGAAGCAAAACCGCGAGGUGGAGCAAAACUCAUAAACAGCGUCCCAGUUCAGAUUGCAGGCUGCAACUCGCCUGCAUGAAGUCGGAAUUGCUAGUAAUCGCGGAUCAGCAUGCCGCGGUGAAUACGUUCCCGGGUCUUGUACACACCG
RNAcentral lists this ribosomal RNA (428 nucleotides) under uncultured bacterium. RNAcentral's name for it is "bacterial SSU rRNA". It matches the Rfam family "Bacterial small subunit ribosomal RNA", at positions 958 to 1392 of the family's 1533-position model. The record is from RNAcentral.